This 478-nucleotide ribosomal RNA is filed under the name uncultured bacterium. RNAcentral's name for it is "partial 16S ribosomal RNA". It matches the Rfam family "Bacterial small subunit ribosomal RNA", at positions 28 to 523 of the family's 1533-position model. The record is from RNAcentral.
GACGAACGCUGGCGGCGUGCUUAACACAUGCAAGUCGAACGGUAAGGCCCUACGGGGUACACGAGUGGCGAACGGGUGAGUAACACGUGGGUGAUCUGCCCUGCACUUCGGGAUAAGCCUGGGAAACUGGGUCUAAUACCGGAUAGGACCACUGCCUGCAUGGGGGGUGGCGGAAAGCUUUUGCGGUGUGGGAUGGGCCCGCGGCCUAUCAGCUUGUUGGUGGGGUGAUGGCCUACCAAGGCGACGACGGGUAGCCGGCCUGAGAGGGUGACCGGCCACACUGGGACUGAGAUACGGCCCAGACUCCUACGGGAGGCAGCAGUGGGGAAUAUUGCACAAUGGGCGCAAGCCUGAUGCAGCGACGCCGCGUGAGGGUUGACGGCCUUCGGGUUGUAAACCUCUUUCAGCACCGACGAAGCGCAAGUGACGGUAGGUGCAGAAGAAGGACCGGCCAACUACGUGCCAGCAGCCGCAGUAA